This 462-nucleotide ribosomal RNA is filed under the name uncultured bacterium. Its description in RNAcentral is "partial 16S ribosomal RNA". It matches the Rfam family "Bacterial small subunit ribosomal RNA", at positions 28 to 507 of the family's 1533-position model. The record is from RNAcentral.
GACGAACGCUGGCGGCGUGCUUAACACAUGCAAGUCGAACGGAAAGGCCCUUCGGGGUACUCGAGUGGCGAACGGGUGGGUAACACGUGGGUGAUCUGCCCUGCACUUUGGGAUAAGCCUGGGAAACUGGGUCUAAUACCGAAUAGGACCGCGCGCUUCAUGGUGUGUGGUGGAAAGCUUUUGCGGUGUGGGAUGGGCCCGCGGCCUAUCAGCUUGUUGGUGGGGUAAUGGCCUACCAAGGCGACGACGGGUAGCCGGCCUGAGAGGGUGACCGGCCACACUGGGACUGAGAUACGGCCCAGACUCCUACGGGAGGCAGCAGUGGGGAAUAUUGCACAAUGGGCGCAAGCCUGAUGCAGCGACGCCGCGUGAGGGAUGACGGCCUUCGGGUUGUAAACCUCUUUCACCAGGGACGAAGCGCAAGUGACGGUACCUGGAGAAGAAGCACCGGCCAACUACGUG